This 1118-nucleotide small RNA is filed under the name Histoplasma ohiense. RNAcentral's name for it is "hypothetical lncRNA". Lineage: Eukaryota; Fungi; Ascomycota; Eurotiomycetes; Onygenales; Ajellomycetaceae. The record is from RNAcentral.
GCAAGCUAUCCCUCGCUGCUAAGCUAUCGCUGCCAAUCUCUCUAUUGCUGCAAGCUAUCCCUCGCUGCUAAGCUAUCGCUGCCAACCUCUCUAUUGCUGCAAGCUAUCCCUCACUGCUAAGCUAUCGCUGCCAACCUCUCUAUUGCUGCAAGCUAUCCCUCACUGCUAAGCUAUCGCUGCCAACCUCUCUAUUGCUGCAAGCUAUCCCUCACUGCUAAGCUAUCGCUGCCAACCUAUCUAGCGCUGCCAAUUUAUCUACCACUGCCAAUCUAUCUAUUGCUGCUAAUCUAUCGCUGCUGUCAAUCUAUCUAUCGCUGCUAAUCUAUCUAUCACUGCUAAUCUAUCGCCGCUGCCAAUCUAUCCCUCACUGCUAAGCUAUCCCUCGCUGCUAAGCUAUCACUGCCAAUCUAUCGCUGCUAAUCUAUCGCUGCCAACCUAUCUACCGCAGCGAAUCUAUCUAUCGCUGCCAAUUUAUCUACCACUGCCAAUCUAUCUAUCACUGCCAAUCUAUUGCUGCUAAUCUAUCGCUGCUAAUCUAUCGCUGCUGCCAAUCUAUCUUUCGCUGCUAAUCUAUCGCCGCUGCCAAUCUAUCCCUCGCUGCUAAGCUAUCCCUCGCUGCUAAGCUAUCCCUCACUGCUAAGCUAUCUCUCGCUGCUAAGCUAUCCCUCACUGCUAAGCUAUCCCUCGCUGCUAAGCUAUCCCUCACUACUAAGCUAUCUAUCACUGCUAAUCUAUCGCUGCCAACCUAUCUAUCACUGCCAAUCUAUCUAUCACUGCUAAUCUAUCGCUGCUAAUCUAUCGCUGCUAAUCUAUCACUGCUAAUCUAUCGCUGCCAACCUAUCUACCGCGGCGAAUCUAUCUAUCACUAUCAUUACUAGUUCAAAAUAGAACUAGAGCAUAAAUACACUAAACUUCUUUUGAUAGAUAAUGAUUUUUGGUAACACUCAUAGCAUUAUAUCAUCUAUAUAGGGUAAAUCAUGGUCCCAUUUGGUCCCAUUUGGUUAAAAUGGGACCAAAUGGGACCAGAAUCAGUAAUUUAUAAGAAGAACAUGACCUGAGACUAGAUUUAUAAUAUAAACAGUGUAAAGUGACUAAUUUAAUAAACACUAUAUGGGACC